GUGCGCGUGCGGGUCCGGCGGUUGUGGCGCCUUGCACACGGCAACGUAAAGGGCGCGCGAGACGAGACCGCCGACGGCAUAGAGCGCGACAAAGGUCGCAACGGCGAUCGACAGACCCUUGACCAACUGGAGCGCCUCCUUGGCGCCACCGCUGCCGACGACGGCGGCGGGCGCAUGCAUGAGGUUGUCGAGCAACGACAAGCGCCAUCCGCCGGCGAUUAUGACCAGAGGCCAUGUGAUCUUGCUUGUGGUGCGCAAGACGGCGUUGCCAAAAGAGGGGUCGGCAGACGUCCAGGCCGCUGAGGCCACGACGACGCCGAGACCUGCCAGGCUGGCCGCUCCGGCGGCGAUUCCGUUUAGCGCCCAUGUUCUGCAGUGCAGAGCACGCGCAAUCGCAAAUAAAUCGCCAACAACAUAUUGUGUGAGUCGCAGCGGCACUGCACACAAUUUCUUGCAACGAG
This 461-nucleotide long non-coding RNA is filed under the name Pandoravirus salinus. RNAcentral describes it as "putative ncRNA". The record is from RNAcentral.